CUCUUUUUGCCUGCCGCCAUCCGCGUAAGAUGUGAUUUGCCUCUCCUUGCCUUCUGCCAUGAUUGUGAGGCCUCCCCAGCCACGUGACACUCAGGACAGUGCAUGAGAUUAUAUAAAGACUCAGAGCAGAGACACAGCUCCUCCUGCACCAGAGAAAUGCAGCUCCGUGAGCCCCGAUGGAGCCAACAUGCUGCUGGGUGCUGAGGAACAAGCAGUGGCACCCAGGAUGGUGGUCUCCAGGGAGAACGGGCACAGAACAACGCAUGAGAGGCUGCCUGACUUACGGCCAGGAUCGGUCACUCAGCCAGCAAAAACACUGGAAGAAAACGAAACAACCUCAGACUGUCUGCUGCUUUUCCGUAAUAUAUCUGCCCAAAGACUGGACGACAAAGGAAAAGGAGGCUGAUGAGGAAACGAAAGGAUCCAUGGUUCUUGGCUUGCUGGGUGUCUCAUCAACAAAGCCCCAGCAUCACUCCUGGCAGAUGCCCUAGCUUGGCCCGGGCUGGGAUGGGCAAAAUUCACUGUGGGACUCUUGUUCGAGAGAGGGAGAUCAGAGCUGGAAACACUUACCCAGAAUGGCCAUGCAGACUAAAAUUCCAAUUCUAAAAAUACUUCUAAAAUCUAAUGUACAACAAAGGAAAGCUGGAAAAAUAUUUUAAAAAGGAUGAAAGGGCAAGAAAAAUUCAACCUGCAACCUCAAGGCGAUUAUAAUCUGUGUUCUGCUGCUUCUCAGAGCCACUUCAGUCUUCAGCUUAGAGUCUACCAAACACUAAAAUGCAACUGAAUACUCAGUUCAUACUUGUUUUUCUAAUUAGCUGCCUCUUCCAUUUGAUUAAUAUUGCCUCCUAAUUUAAUUGUAAAUUGUAUUUCUGGUUUAUAUUUUGCUUCUCCCUCCUGUUGUACCUGGUGACCAUCUUCAUUAAUCAUAUUGUAGCUUUUUAAUGAAUCUCAUAUGCCAAUUUAUUGUGAACAAGACUUGAUAUGAAGGCAUCUUCAUCAAAUCAUUCAUAAUCUUGUAACUAUUGGUUUAUUUUCUGUAACUACCUAUAAAUGUACACCAAAAAAAUGAAAGAUUUCCCCUAAAAUGUAAUGAGGCAGAACUAAGUUUACACAGAUUUCUGAGGAUGGGUUGAGACGCCAAAUUCCGCUUAUGUUUGGAAUUUCUAUUUCACUGGGCUUAGUGAGGGCGCCCAUGUUUUGCAAUCCUGUGCUCUAGAAACUAUCAUAAACAGAUUCUUCUAAUUGUUUGACAUUAAACUGCAAAUUUGUGUUUUUGUGUCUGCUCAAAUAUAAAAUGUCUUUGGGAAAAA
Nomascus leucogenys (northern white-cheeked gibbon) is the source of this 1310-nucleotide long non-coding RNA. RefSeq lists it as uncharacterized. The record is from RefSeq and is a predicted model, not a curated record. Lineage: Eukaryota; Metazoa; Chordata; Mammalia; Primates; Hylobatidae. The transcript has 2 exons.